Molecule: ribosomal RNA, 301 nt
Filed under: uncultured bacterium
Lineage: Bacteria
Description: partial 16S ribosomal RNA
Rfam family: Bacterial small subunit ribosomal RNA
Source: RNAcentral
CAGCCGCCACGGUAAUACGUAGGUCCCGAGCGUUGUCCGGAUUUAUUGGGCGUAAAGCGAGCGCAGGCGGUUAGAUAAGUCUGAAGUUAAAGGCUGUGGCUUAACCAUAGUACGCUUUGGAAACUGUUUAACUUGAGUGCAAGAGGGGAGAGUGGAAUUCCAUGUGUAGCGGUGAAAUGCGUAGAUAUAUGGAGGAACACCGGUGGCGAAAGCGGCUCUCUGGCUUGUAACUGACGCUGAGGCUCGAAAGCGUGGGGAGCAAACAGGAUUAGAUACCCCGGUAGUCCCUGUCUCUUAUACA